Molecule: long non-coding RNA, 390 nt
Organism: Lathyrus oleraceus (garden pea)
Lineage: Eukaryota; Viridiplantae; Streptophyta; Magnoliopsida; Fabales; Fabaceae
Exons: 3
Source: RefSeq, a predicted model, not a curated record
UUGUUAGAUUUUUAUUAUUCCAACCCGAUGAUUAACUUUUUAUCAUUCUCAUUCUGAAACAGAUCUUUUCACUAGGGGAAUAGAUAUCCAAGCAGUGAAUGUUGUUAUUAAUUUUGAUUUUCCCAAGAACUCAGAGACAUAUCUGCACAGGGUUGGCCGAUCAGGGAGGUUUGGACACCUUGGUUUAGCAGUGAACUUAAUAACCUAUGAGGAUCGUUUCAAUUUGUAUAGGAUUGAACAAGAACUUGGCACUGAAAUAAAACAAAUUCCCCCAUUCAUUGAUCAGGCCAUAUAUUGUCGGUGACCGGUGGUAGAUACCCUGUUUGUAUUCUCAACUGUGGUGAAUAGCAUCAUCGGUGAGUGAUAGGAACCAUUUUCUUUUGAUAUUUA